Molecule: long non-coding RNA, 1375 nt
Organism: Triticum aestivum (bread wheat)
Lineage: Eukaryota; Viridiplantae; Streptophyta; Magnoliopsida; Poales; Poaceae
Exons: 3
Source: RefSeq, a predicted model, not a curated record
CAUAAUCCCCCAUCGUGCGAGAUGUCCCAAGAAAGUAGUAACUACCAUGUAAAAAGGGUGCGAUCUCUAGCCUAAACCUAGCACCGCCAUGCCACACCGCCGCCUCUGCCAAGAUCCUGCUCCUCCUCACCUCAGACUCGCUGUAGCAGGUCCACCCCCCUCGUCCGUCGGCAUCCAACAGUAGGCCCGGGGACGCUGGCCUCCAGGCGGCGGCCUAGCCCCACUCCGGCCGCCUCGACCUGCAGCUCCGGCACACGGUGCACUCCGGCUGAAAGGGAAGAUGAUGGGUGGCGGAGUGGGCAACAGAUCCGAAAUGGACAUCGCACCUUCUCCUACUGAGAUCGUAGUGACAUACGACCCGACAGGAAACAAUGGUAGAAGAUGCACAAGAUCGACGAGGAGGACAAAAGAGACAGGGGGGAUAUAUGCCCCUGUGACGACUCCCACCCGGCCCUCCAUUUGCUCGCCGGCAUCCUCUGUCUCUAAGAACCCGACGUCUUGCGACCAAAAAAUCCUCCAAGUGUCCUCCGCCAUGUGAAGCUCGUUUCCAUCAGGUAGGCUGACCUCGUGCUUGCCACUGUCGACCAGCAGCAAGGCGGCAAGUUCAUUUAUAUGUGAGUCGAUCUACUUUUUUAUUUUAGUUUUUCUAUCAAUUCGUUCCAAGUAAGAAUUGGAGCCGCUCCCAUGAUGCGUACUUAAGUGUGGAGGAGAAUCUUGACAUUGUAAUUUAGAUUAUCCUAUUAAGAUAGGACAACGCUGCUUUGCCGGGUUUUUUUUUUCUGAACUCUCAUCUGUUUACUGAUUAAACAUUUAGACUACUACAAUUUAAAGUAGAUCUUACACAUAGCUUUCUUCGUUGUUUGCUCCCAAAUUAUUGGCACUCAUGUAUGCAGGUUCUUGAUAAAAAGCCUCUGAGAAUAUCCUGAUAGAAUAAGAUGGUCAGUGUUCUUAACACAUUUUUCUUUUUCAUGCAGUUAAUAAUGCUCGUGUAUCAACUAUCAAAUCACCUUCACCUUCCUCCCCUCCCAUAACUAAAAUUAAGAGCUUUGCACCCACGUUCUAACAUUUCUUAGAAUUAACAUGGCUUCUACUCUAAACGGAGAGAUCAACUCAUACAUGCAGUUUCUCACCUGCAGAAACUUUUCUCAUGUUGUCUGAUAAAGAGCACCGUGGAUGGAUAUAUUAUCAUGUUUGAAAAACUUCUAUGUGCGGAUUUUGAAGGCAGUUGCCACAAGGAUGAACUAGAGAAGCAGAGAAAGCAAGGAGCCAUUGUUCCAUUAUCAGCAUGUAGAAACUAAAAAUCAUAUAGAUAUGUUUCACCUACUUUGUGACAUGUAAUUGUUCAUAGGUGAUGUGUACAAUUAAGUUUGUAAGC